RNAcentral lists this ribosomal RNA (253 nucleotides) under uncultured bacterium. RNAcentral's name for it is "partial 16S ribosomal RNA". It matches the Rfam family "Bacterial small subunit ribosomal RNA", at positions 524 to 776 of the family's 1533-position model. The record is from RNAcentral.
UACGUAGGGGGCAAGCGUUGUCCGGAUUUAUUGGGCGUAAAGAGCGUGUAGGCGGCUUGGAAGGUCAGCUGUGAAAACUCGAGGCUCAACCUCGAGACGUCGGUUGAAACCACCUGGCUAGAGUCCGGAAGAGGAGAGUGGAAUUCCCGGUGUAGAGGUGAAAUUCGUAGAUAUUGGGAAGAAAAACGGUGGAGAAGGCGGCUAUCUGGACAGACAUUGAAGCUGAGGAGAGAAAGACAGGGGAGAAAAAGGG